This 74-nucleotide transfer RNA is filed under the name Erythrobacter sp. Its description in RNAcentral is "tRNA-Met". It matches the Rfam family "tRNA". From Rfam's summary of the family: Transfer RNA (tRNA) molecules are approximately 80 nucleotides in length. Their secondary structure includes four short double-helical elements and three loops (D, anti-codon, and T loops). The record is from RNAcentral. Lineage: Bacteria; Pseudomonadati; Pseudomonadota; Alphaproteobacteria; Sphingomonadales; Erythrobacteraceae.
GGCGGAGUAGCUCAGGUGGUUAGAGCAGCGGAAUCAUAAUCCGCGUGUCGGGGGUUCGAGUCCCUCCUCCGGCA